CGUGCCAGCAGCCGCGGUAAUACCCGCAGCACGAGUAGUGGUCACUUUUAUUGAGCCUAAAGCGUUCGUAGCCGGUUUUGUAAAUCUUCAGAUAAAGCCUGAAGCUUAACUCCAGAAAGUCUGAAGAGACUGCAAGACUUGAGAUCGGGUGAGGUUAAACGUACUUUCAGGGUAGGGGUAAAAUCCUGUAAUCCCGGAAGGACGACCAGUGGCGAAAGCGUUUAACUAGAACGAAUCUGACGGUAAGGAACGAAGGCUAGGGUAGCAAACCGGAUUAGAUACCCGGGUAGUCCUAGCUGUAAACAUUGCCCAUUUGAUGUUGCUUUUCCGUUGAGGGAAGGCAGUGUCGGAGCGAAGGUGUUAAAUGGGCCGCUUGGGAAGUAUGGUCGCAAGACUGAAACUUAAAGGAAUUGGCGGGGGAGCACCGCAACGGGAGGAAUGUGCGGUUUAAUUGGAUUCAACGCCGGAAAACUCACCGGGAACGACCUGUGCAUGAGAGUCAACCUGACGAGCUUACUCGAUAGCAGGAGAGGUGGUGCAUGGCCGUCGUCAGCUCGUACCGUAGGGCGUUCACUUAAGUGUGAUAACGAGCGAGACCCACAUCUUUAAUUGCAAAUGUAUAUGAGAAUAUGCAUGCACUUUAGAGAAACCGCCAGCGCUAAGCUGGAGGAAGGAGUGGUCGACGGCAGGUCAGUACGCCCCGAAUUUCCCGGGCUACACGCGCAUUACAAAGAACGGGACAAUACGUUGCAACCUCGAAAGAGGAAGCUAAUCGCGAAACCCGUCCAUAGUUAGGAUUGAGGGCUGUAACUCGCCCUCAUGAAUCUGGAUUCCGUAGUAAUCGCGGGUCAACAACCCGCGGUGAACAUGCCCCUGCUCCUUGCACACACCGCCCGUCAAACCAUCCGAGUUGGUGUUGGAUGAGGUUUAAUUCGAGAGGGUUAAAUCAAAUCUGAUGUCGGUGAGGAGGGUUAAGUCGUAACAAGGUAUCCGUAGGGGAACCUGCGGCUGGAUCACCUCCUUAAGGGCGAAUCGCGGCCGCU
This 1043-nucleotide ribosomal RNA is filed under the name Ferroplasma acidiphilum. RNAcentral describes it as "bacterial SSU rRNA". It matches the Rfam family "Archaeal small subunit ribosomal RNA", at positions 454 to 1478 of the family's 1478-position model. Lineage: Archaea; Methanobacteriati; Thermoplasmatota; Thermoplasmata; Thermoplasmatales; Ferroplasmaceae. The record is from RNAcentral.